RNAcentral lists this ribosomal RNA (460 nucleotides) under uncultured bacterium. RNAcentral's name for it is "partial 16S ribosomal RNA". It matches the Rfam family "Bacterial small subunit ribosomal RNA", at positions 338 to 795 of the family's 1533-position model. The record is from RNAcentral.
CCUACGGGAGGCAGCAGUGAGGAAUAUUGGUCAAUGGGCUUACGCCUGAACCAGCCAAGUCGCGUGAGGGAAGACUGCCCUAUGGGUUGUAAACCUCUUUUGUCAGGGAGCAAUUGGCGCUACGUGUAGCGUUAUCGAGAGUACCUGAAGAAAAAGCAUCGGCUAACUCCGUGCCAGCAGCCGCGGUAAUACGGAGGAUGCGAGCGUUAUCCGGAUUUAUUGGGUUUAAAGGGUGCGUAGGCGGAAUGCCAAGUCAGCGGGAAAAUAGCGGGGUUCAACCCCGCUCCGCCGUUGAAACUGGCGUUCUUGAGUGGGCGAGAAGUAUGCGGAAUGCGUGGUGUAGCGGUGAAAUGCAUAGAUAUCACGCAGAACUCCGAUUGCGAAGGCAGCAUACCGGCGCCCAACUGACGCUGAAGCACGAAAGCGUGGGUAUCGAACAGGAUUAGAUACCCUUGUAGUC